AUUGAACGCUGGAGGUAUGCUUAACACAUGCAAGUCGAACGCGAACGUUUCUUCGGAAGCAAGUAGAGUGGCGGACGGGUGAGUAACGCGUAGGAAUAUACCUAGUAGUGGGGGAUAACUACCGGAAACGGUGGCUAAUACCGCAUAUGUCCCACGGGAUAAAGAGGGCCUCUUCUUGAAAGCUCUUGCUAUUAGAUUAGCCUGCGUCGGAUUAGCUUGUUGGUGGGGUAAUGGCCCACCAAGGCGACGAUCCGUAGCUGGUCUGAGAGGAUGAUCAGCCACACUGGGACUGAGACACGGCCCAG
RNAcentral lists this ribosomal RNA (305 nucleotides) under uncultured bacterium. RNAcentral's name for it is "bacterial SSU rRNA". It matches the Rfam family "Bacterial small subunit ribosomal RNA", at positions 30 to 334 of the family's 1533-position model. The record is from RNAcentral.